This 74-nucleotide transfer RNA is filed under the name Bacteroidia bacterium. Its description in RNAcentral is "tRNA-Gln". It matches the Rfam family "tRNA". From Rfam's summary of the family: Transfer RNA (tRNA) molecules are approximately 80 nucleotides in length. Their secondary structure includes four short double-helical elements and three loops (D, anti-codon, and T loops). The record is from RNAcentral. Lineage: Bacteria; Pseudomonadati; Bacteroidota; Bacteroidia.
UGACCAAUGGUGUAACGGUAGCACUCCAGUCUCUGAAUCUGUCAGUCUUGGUUCGAAUCCAGGUUGGUCAACCA